UACAGAGGGUGCGAGCGUUAAUCGGAAUAACUGGGCGUAAAGGGUGCGUAGGUGGUUAUUUAAGUGAGCUGUGAAAGCCCCGGGCUUAACCUGGGAACGGCAGCUCAAACUGAGUAGCUUGAGUAGGUGAGAGGAGUGUGGAAUUUCCGGUGUAGCGGUGAAAUGCGUAGAGAUCGGAAAGAACACCAGUGGCGAAGGCGGCACUCUGGCACCAUACUGACACUGAGGCACGAAGGCGUGGGGAGCAAACAGG
This 253-nucleotide ribosomal RNA is filed under the name uncultured bacterium. RNAcentral's name for it is "partial 16S ribosomal RNA". It matches the Rfam family "Bacterial small subunit ribosomal RNA", at positions 524 to 776 of the family's 1533-position model. The record is from RNAcentral.